Molecule: ribosomal RNA, 276 nt
Filed under: uncultured bacterium
Lineage: Bacteria
Description: partial 16S ribosomal RNA
Source: RNAcentral
CUGCUGCCUCCCGUAGGAGUCUGGUCCGUGUCUCAGUACCAGUGUGGGGGACCUUCCUCUCGGAACCCCUACGCAUCGUCGCCUUGGUGGGCCGUUACCCCGCCAACAAGCUAAUGCGACGCAUGACCAUCCGUAGCCGGAAUCGCUUCCUUUAAACCCACAGAGAUGCCUCCAUGGGUUGUUACGCGGUAUUAGACGGAAUUUCUUCCGCUUAUCCCCCUGCUACGGGCAGGUUUCAUACGUGUUACUCACCCGUGCGCCGGUCGCCGGCGGGAG